This 65-nucleotide transfer RNA is filed under the name Amaga expatria. RNAcentral's name for it is "tRNA-Glu". Lineage: Eukaryota; Metazoa; Platyhelminthes; Tricladida; Geoplanidae. The record is from RNAcentral.
GUAGAUUUAGUGUAAAAUAGCAUUUAAAAUUUUCUUUUUUAAGGUAAGAAAUUUCUUAAUCUAUA